RNAcentral lists this ribosomal RNA (221 nucleotides) under Bangia fuscopurpurea. The record is from RNAcentral. Lineage: Eukaryota; Rhodophyta; Bangiophyceae; Bangiales; Bangiaceae.
AUAGGUAUCAAGUAUAAGUGCAGUAAUGUAUUCAGCUGAGAUAUACUAACAGACCGAGGACUUGACUAAUAUUUGUCGUGCUAUUGAAAUUAUCUUCAGGUUUAUGCUUUGGUGCCCAUAGCACAGUGGAACCACACCGAUCCAUCUCGAACUCGGUUGUUAAACACUGUAGCGGCAAUAAUACUGAAGGGGGAGCCCUUUGGAAAAGUAGCUCAGUGCCA